Molecule: ribosomal RNA, 253 nt
Filed under: uncultured prokaryote
Description: partial 16S ribosomal RNA
Rfam family: Bacterial small subunit ribosomal RNA
Source: RNAcentral
UACAGAGGGUGCGAGCGUUAAUCGGAAUUACUGGGCGUAAAGCGCACGUAGGCGGCUUUGCAAGUCGGAUGUGAAAUCCCCGGGCUUAACCUGGGAACUGCAUUCGAGACUGCAUUACUAGAGUAUGGGAGAGAGAGGCGGAAUUUCCGGUGUAGCGGUGAAAUGCGUAGAUAUCGGAAGGAACAUCAGUGGCGAAAGCGGCCUCUUGGACCAAUACUGACGCUCAUGUGCGAAAGCGUGGGGAGCAAACAGG